GAGCGUAUAGCUCAGUGGUAGAGCACAUGCCUAGCAUGCACAAGGUCAUGGGUUCAAUCCCCAGUAUCUACA
RNAcentral lists this transfer RNA (72 nucleotides) under Camelus bactrianus (Bactrian camel). It matches the Rfam family "tRNA". Rfam says of the family: Transfer RNA (tRNA) molecules are approximately 80 nucleotides in length. Their secondary structure includes four short double-helical elements and three loops (D, anti-codon, and T loops). Lineage: Eukaryota; Metazoa; Chordata; Mammalia; Artiodactyla; Camelidae. RNAcentral also lists the same sequence under 3 other names. The record is from Rfam by way of RNAcentral.